UGCGUAGACGGUUAUGCAAGUUGGUAGCGUAAUACCGGGGCUCAACUCCGGAACUACUACCAAAACUGUGUAGCUUGAGUGCGGCAGGGGUAUGUGGAUUCCUAGUGUAGCGGUGGAAUGCGUAGAUAUUAGGAGGAACACCAGAGGCGAAGGCGACAUACUGGGCCGUAACUGACGUUGAGGCACGAAAGCGUGGGGAGCAAACA
RNAcentral lists this ribosomal RNA (206 nucleotides) under uncultured bacterium. Its description in RNAcentral is "partial 16S ribosomal RNA". It matches the Rfam family "Bacterial small subunit ribosomal RNA", at positions 568 to 774 of the family's 1533-position model. The record is from RNAcentral.